RNAcentral lists this ribosomal RNA (745 nucleotides) under uncultured bacterium. RNAcentral describes it as "bacterial SSU rRNA". It matches the Rfam family "Bacterial small subunit ribosomal RNA", at positions 33 to 773 of the family's 1533-position model. The record is from RNAcentral.
ACGCUGGCGGCAGGCCUAACACAUGCAAGUCGAGCGGUAGAGAGAAGCUUGCUUCUCUUGAGAGCGGCGGACGGGUGAGUAAUGCCUAGGAAUCUGCCUGGUAGUGGGGGAUAACGUUCGGAAACGGACGCUAAUACCGCAUACGUCCUACGGGAGAAAGCAGGGGACCUUCGGGCCUUGCGCUAUCAGAUGAGCCUAGGUCGGAUUAGCUAGUUGGUGGGGUAAUGGCUCACCAAGGCGACGAUCCGUAACUGGUCUGAGAGGAUGAUCAGUCACACUGGAACUGAGACACGGUCCAGACUCCUACGGGAGGCAGCAGUGGGGAAUAUUGGACAAUGGGCGAAAGCCUGAUCCAGCCAUGCCGCGUGUGUGAAGAAGGACUUCGGAUUGUAAAGCACUUUAAGUUGGGAGGAAGGGCAGUUGCCUAAUACGUAACUGUUUUGACGUUACCGACAGAAUAAGCACCGGCUAACUCUGUGCCAGCAGCCGCGGUAAUACAGAGGGUGCAAGCGUUAAUCGGAAUUACUGGGCGUAAAGCGCGCGUAGGUGGUUUGUUAAGUUGGAUGUGAAAUCCCCGGGCUCAACCUGGGAACUGCAUUCAAAACUGACUGACUAGAGUAUGGUAGAGGGUGGUGGAAUUUCCUGUGUAGCGGUGAAAUGCGUAGAUAUAGGAAGGAACACCAGUGGCGAAGGCGACCACCUGGACUGAUACUGACACUGAGGUGCGAAAGCGUGGGGAGCAAAC